UGGGGAAUUUUGGACAAUGGGGCGAAAGCCUGAUCCAGCAAUGCCGCGUGUGUGAAGAAGGCCUUCGGGUUGUAAAGCACUUUUGUCCGGAAAGAAAUCCUUGGGCUCUAAUACAGUCGGGGGAUGACGGUACCGGAAGAAUAAGCACCGGCUAACUACGUGCCAGCAGCCGCGGUAAUACGUAGGGUGCAAGCGUUAAUCGGAAUUACUGGGCGUAAAGCGUGCGCAGGCGGUUUGCUAAGACCGAUGUGAAAUCCCCGGGCUCAACCUGGGAACUGCAUUGGUGACUGGCAGGCUAGAGUAUGGCAGAGGGGGGUAGAAUUCCACGUGUGAGCAGUGAAAUGCGUAGAGAUGUGGAGGAAUACCGAUGGCGAAGGCAGCCCCCUGGGCCAAAUACUGACGCUCAUGCACGAAAGCGUGGGGAGCAAACAGGAUUAGAUACCCUGGUAGUCCACGCCCUAAA
Molecule: ribosomal RNA, 463 nt
Filed under: uncultured bacterium
Lineage: Bacteria
Description: partial 16S ribosomal RNA
Rfam family: Bacterial small subunit ribosomal RNA
Source: RNAcentral